AUAAGGUGGGACACAGAGCAGCCUUUUGUCCUCUUAAAGAGUACAAUCUAUGGUACUGCUUUUAUUGCCAGGCUGUAGCUCCACACAAAGGGGAUAAUUGUCCAAAUAAGGACAAUCCCAAAGAUGGAUACAGGAAACCAAGGAGAAACUAAUUCAGAGUAAAGUUCAGAGA
This is a long non-coding RNA of Nasonia vitripennis (jewel wasp), 172 nucleotides long. RefSeq lists it as uncharacterized. NCBI's taxonomy places the organism in Eukaryota, Metazoa, Arthropoda, Insecta, Hymenoptera, Pteromalidae. The record is from RefSeq and is a predicted model, not a curated record. The transcript is spliced from 2 exons.